CCUACGGGUGGCAGCAGUGAGGAAUAUUGGGCAAUGGGCGGAAGCCUGAACCAGCCAAGUAGCGUGCAGGAUGACGGCCUUACGGGUUGUAAACUGCUUUUAUACGGGAAUAACGCGCCUUACGUGUAGGGCUUUGCAUGUACCGUAUGAAUAAGGACCGGCUAAUUCCGUGCCAGAAGCCGCGGGAAUGCGGAAGGUCCGGGCGUUAUACGGAGUUAUUGGGUUGAAAGGGAGCGUAGGCCGCAGGUCAAGCGUGCUGUGAAAGGUCCGGGCUCCACCCGGGCCGUGCAGCGCGAACUGGCGUUCGUGAGUCCGCGGAAAGCAGGCGGAAUUCGUCGUGUAGCGGUGAA
This 350-nucleotide ribosomal RNA is filed under the name uncultured bacterium. RNAcentral describes it as "partial 16S ribosomal RNA". It matches the Rfam family "Bacterial small subunit ribosomal RNA", at positions 338 to 685 of the family's 1533-position model. The record is from RNAcentral.